CGGACGGGUGAGUAAUGCCUAGGAAUCUGCCUGGUAGUGGGGGACAACGUUUCGAAAGGAACGCUAAUACCGCAUACGUCCUACGGGAGAAAGCAGGGACCUUCGGGCCUUAGCGCUAUCAGAUGAGCCUAGGUCGGAUUAGCUAGUUGGUGAGGUAAUGGCUCACCAAGGCGACGAUCCGUAACUGGUCUGAGAGGAUGAUCAGUCACACUGGAACUGAGACACGGUCCAGACUCCUACGGGAGGCAGCAGCA
This 254-nucleotide ribosomal RNA is filed under the name uncultured Pseudomonas sp. RNAcentral's name for it is "partial 16S ribosomal RNA". It matches the Rfam family "Bacterial small subunit ribosomal RNA", at positions 99 to 355 of the family's 1533-position model. Lineage: Bacteria; Pseudomonadati; Pseudomonadota; Gammaproteobacteria; Pseudomonadales; Pseudomonadaceae. The record is from RNAcentral.